RNAcentral lists this ribosomal RNA (855 nucleotides) under Lactiplantibacillus plantarum. Its description in RNAcentral is "bacterial SSU rRNA". It matches the Rfam family "Bacterial small subunit ribosomal RNA", at positions 46 to 868 of the family's 1533-position model. The record is from RNAcentral. Lineage: Bacteria; Bacillati; Bacillota; Bacilli; Lactobacillales; Lactobacillaceae.
GGCCUAUGAUGCAGUCGACGAACUCUGGUAUUGAUUGGUGCUUGCAUCAUGAUUUACAUUUGAGUGAGUGGCGAACUGGUGAGUAACACGUGGGAAACCUGCCCAGAAGCGGGGGAUAACACCUGGAAACAGAUGCUAAUACCGCAUAACAACUUGGACCGCAUGGUCCGAGUUUGAAAGAUGGCUUCGGCUAUCACUUUUGGAUGGUCCCGCGGCGUAUUAGCUAGAUGGUGGGGUAACGGCUCACCAUGGCAAUGAUACGUAGCCGACCUGAGAGGGUAAUCGGCCACAUUGGGACUGAGACACGGCCCAAACUCCUACGGGAGGCAGCAGUAGGGAAUCUUCCACAAUGGACGAAAGUCUGAUGGAGCAACGCCGCGUGAGUGAAGAAGGGUUUCGGCUCGUAAAACUCUGUUGUUAAAGAAGAACAUAUCUGAGAGUAACUGUUCAGGUAUUGACGGUAUUUAACCAGAAAGCCACGGCUAACUACGUGCCAGCAGCCGCGGUAAUACGUAGGUGGCAAGCGUUGUCCGGAUUUAUUGGGCGUAAAGCGAGCGCAGGCGGUUUUUUAAGUCUGAUGUGAAAGCCUUCGGCUCAACCGAAGAAGUGCAUCGGAAACUGGGAAACUUGAGUGCAGAAGAGGACAGUGGAACUCCAUGUGUAGCGGUGAAAUGCGUAGAUAUAUGGAAGAACACCAGUGGCGAAGGCGGCUGUCUGGUCUGUAACUGACGCUGAGGCUCGAAAGUAUGGGUAGCAAACAGGAUUAGAUACCCUGGUAGUCCAUACCGUAAACGAUGAAUGCUAAGUGUUGGAGGGUUUCCGCCCUUCAGUGCUGCAGCUAACGCAUUAAGCAUU